This 1472-nucleotide long non-coding RNA is filed under the name Parus major (Great Tit). Its description in RNAcentral is "lncRNA (ENSPMJG00000005475.1)". The record is from RNAcentral. Lineage: Eukaryota; Metazoa; Chordata; Aves; Passeriformes; Paridae.
CAUCAGCCUUUUACAGGGGGGCUGUUGUCUGGAACACACGGAAGGUCAAGAAAGCGCACCGAAGCUCCCCGUCAUCCUUACCACGGGCACUCCCACACCCUACACUUCCAUCCUUUCUCCGAAAGAAGAGGAGACAGGCCUCUGAUCAGCCCCGAGGGAGGGGGUGAAGGCGAACACCCCACAAAGUGCACCGAGGGCAGUUAUCUGCAGACACGGCUUCGGGGGUGCAUACGCACAAAGACCCCCACAACGCAAACAAAAGCGAGCCCGUCGCGAUUCCCCGACCCGCCGAGUCCGGCGCAGCCCCGGGAGGCCCUUCCCGGCACUGCCCCGGAGGGCGCAGGGAGCCGGAGGGGGGAGAGCGGAGAAACUGUCCCUUUUACCACCCGGGCGCUGCCCCGGAGCUCACGGGGAGGCGAGGAAGCCCUCGGGGCUGUGCCGGGGGGCAAGGCGACGCAGGGUCCCCGGUGCCCCGCCGGACGGCGAGGCCGUCCAGGCAGCGGGGGUGGCACCGCCCGCAGCCGCCGGGAUAGGAGGGUCGGGGCUCCGAGUUCACCCUUUCCCCGUCCCCUCCCCUGCCCCCCGCGGGCACGGCAGCCAUGGCCCCUCGCCCGGCCUGCCGGGCCCCGCCGUCUCUCUCCUGGGGAGCCUCGGCGCUGCCGAGCAGCUGCCAUUACUCGGGCCAAGACCCGUCCUCCAAGCAGGCAUCCCCCUCCCCAGCGAGGAAAUGCGGCGGCGGCGGGGGUCUGGACCCUCUCUUGUUGCAGGGGGAAAAUGUGGUGCUUAUCCAGCCUUGAUACAUGGAAAUCUCUCCUAUCAUGAAGUCCAACUUGGAGAAAUGACAGAUAAUGGUUUUGAAAGUAGACACUCACCUUGAGCAAAAGAAACUAAACCAUAGAUAAUCAGCGGCUUGUCUCAGGGUUGUCAAUACCUUCUGAGCUGCAGAUCACAGAACCAUAGAAUCAUUUAGAUUGGAAAAGACCUUUAUGAUUAUUGAGUCCAACUGUUAGCCAUACUUGCACUGCAGGGUAGGGAAAUGAAUAUUAAUACAAAACAUGUAACUUUAUAGGAACAUAUAUAUUUAAAUAGCAAAAACAUGUACAUUUAUAUUUUUAUGGAGAUAAAAAUAUGAAAAUAUAUUCUAAAGUUUCUGAAAUUCUUCAGGAAUUAUUAAAUUAAUAAGUACCACACCACACAAUUAACUUGACUAGAAUUUUACUUUUAUUAAAAUAUGCCUUUAUUAAAAUAUACCGCAAGCUUAUUUCUAUAAACAUUUAUGCAUGCAAAAAAAUUCAGUCAUAUGAGUAGUAAUUAAUAUUACUAAAAUAGUAGAAGGAAAUAGUAGUGCUAAUGUUGAAAAAAGAUGCAUCCAUUGUGCCUGGUCAGACAAAGAUUAAACAGAGUUUGCACAAUGAGCAGUGAAAGUUUCUUCAAUGUGUCCAAAAAAUAAAAUUUAGUAGUGCCUAAACCCA